GAUGAACGCUGGCGGCGUGCCUAAUACACGCAAGUCGAGCGAACGGACGAGAAGCUUGCUUCUCUGAUGUUAUCGGCGGACGGGUGAGUAACACGUGGAUAACCUACCUAUAAGACUGGGAUAACUUCGGGAAACCGGAGCUAAUACCGGAUAAUAUUUUGAACCGCAUGGUUCAAAAGUGAAAGACGUUCUUGCUGUCACUUAUAGAUGGAUCCGCGCUGCAUUAGCUAGUUGGUAAGGUAACGGCUUACCAAGGCAACGAUGCAUAGCAGACCUGAGAGGGUGAUCGGCAACACUGGAAGUGAGAAACGGACAAGACGCAUACGGGAGGCAGCAGUAGGGAAUAUUCCGCAAUGGGCGAAAGCAUGACGGAGCAACGCCGCGUGAGUGAUGAAGGUCUUCGGAUCGUAAAACUCUGUUAUUAGGGAAGAAAAUAUGUGUAAGUAACUGUGCACAUAUUGACGGUACCUAAUCAGAAAGCAACGGCUAACUACGUG
Molecule: ribosomal RNA, 497 nt
Filed under: uncultured bacterium
Lineage: Bacteria
Description: partial 16S ribosomal RNA
Rfam family: Bacterial small subunit ribosomal RNA
Source: RNAcentral